GGAUGGGACUGGGAGGGACUGGGUUAUACUGGGAGGGACUGGGAGGGACUGGGAUGAGAUUGGGAUCGACUGGGAUGGGACUGGGAUGGGACUGGGAUGGAAGUGGGUUAUACUGGGAUGGGACUGGGCUAUACUGGGAUGGACUGGGAGGGACUGGGAUGGGACUGAGAUGGGACUGGGUUAUACUGGGAAGGACUGGGAUGGACUGGGAUGGGACUGGGAGGGACUGGGUUAUACUGGGAGGGACUGGGAGGGACUGGGAUGGACUGGGAUGGACUGGGAUGGGAGUGGGUUAUACUGGGUUAUACUGGGAUGGGACUGGGAUGGACUGGAAGGGACUGGGAUGGGACUGGGAUGGGACUGGUUUAUACUGGGAUGGACUGGAAGGGACUGGGCUGGGACUGGGUUAUACUGGGAUGGACUGGGAUGGGACUGGGAGGGACUGGGAGGGACUGGUUUAUACUGGGAGGGACUGGGAGGGGCUAUACUGGUCCAUGCUGAUUGAUACUGGUCCAUACUGGUUGAUACUGGUCGAUACUGGUCUAUACUGGUCGAAACAGUGUUCUAUACUGGUCCAUGCUGGUCUAUAUUGGUUGAUACUGGUCUAUACUGGUCUAUACUGGUCAAUACUGGUCUAUACUGGUCCAUAGUGGUCUAUACUGGUCCAUACUGGUCCAUACUGGUCGAUACUGGUCUAUACUGGUUGAUACCGGUCUAUACUGGUCCAUACUGGUCGAAACAGCGGUCAAUACUGGUCCAUGCAGGUCUAUACUGGUUGAUACU
Molecule: long non-coding RNA, 783 nt
Filed under: Phasianus colchicus (ring-necked pheasant)
Lineage: Eukaryota; Metazoa; Chordata; Aves; Galliformes; Phasianidae
Description: lncRNA (ENSPCLG00000017550.1)
Source: RNAcentral